This 1188-nucleotide ribosomal RNA is filed under the name Escherichia coli. RNAcentral's name for it is "partial 23S ribosomal RNA". It matches the Rfam family "Bacterial large subunit ribosomal RNA", at positions 554 to 1744 of the family's 2925-position model. Lineage: Bacteria; Pseudomonadati; Pseudomonadota; Gammaproteobacteria; Enterobacterales; Enterobacteriaceae. The record is from RNAcentral.
AACCGUGUACGUACAAGCAGUGGGAGCACGCUUAGGCGUGUGACUGCGUACCUUUUGUAUAAUGGGUCAGCGACUUAUAUUCUGUAGCAAGGUUAACCGAAUAGGGGAGCCGAAGGGAAACCGAGUCUUAACUGGGCGUUAAGUUGCAGGGUAUAGACCCGAAACCCGGUGAUCUAGCCAUGGGCAGGUUGAAGGUUGGGUAACACUAACUGGAGGACCGAACCGACUAAUGUUGAAAAAUUAGCGGAUGACUUGUGGCUGGGGGUGAAAGGCCAAUCAAACCGGGAGAUAGCUGGUUCUCCCCGAAAGCUAUUUAGGUAGCGCCUCGUGAAUUCAUCUCCGGGGGUAGAGCACUGUUUCGGCAAGGGGGUCAUCCCGACUUACCAACCCGAUGCAAACUGCGAAUACCGGAGAAUGUUAUCACGGGAGACACACGGCGGGUGCUAACGUCCGUCGUGAAGAGGGAAACAACCCAGACCGCCAGCUAAGGUCCCAAAGUCAUGGUUAAGUGGGAAACGAUGUGGGAAGGCCCAGACAGCCAGGAUGUUGGCUUAGAAGCAGCCAUCAUUUAAAGAAAGCGUAAUAGCUCACUGGUCGAGUCGGCCUGCGCGGAAGAUGUAACGGGGCUAAACCAUGCACCGAAGCUGCGGCAGCGACGCUGAUGCGUUGUUGGGUAGGGGAGCGUUCUGUAAGCCUGCGAAGGUGUGCUGUGAGGCAUGCUGGAGGUAUCAGAAGUGCGAAUGCUGACAUAAGUAACGAUAAAGCGGGUGAAAAGCCCGCUCGCCGGAAGACCAAGGGUUCCUGUCCAACGUUAAUCGGGGCAGGGUGAGUCGACCCCUAAGGCGAGGCCGAAAGGCGUAGUCGAUGGGAAACAGGUUAAUAUUCCUGUACUUGGUGUUACUGCGAAGGGGGGACGGAGAAGGCUAUGUUGGCCGGGCGACGGUUGUCCCGGUUUAAGCGUGUAGGCUGGUUUUCCAGGCAAAUCCGGAAAAUCAAGGCUGAGGCGUGAUGACGAGGCACUACGGUGCUGAAGCAACAAAUGCCCUGCUUCCAGGAAAAGCCUCUAAGCAUCAGGUAACAUCAAAUCGUACCCCAAACCGACACAGGUGGUCAGGUAGAGAAUACCAAGGCGCUUGAGAGAACUCGGGUGAAGGAACUAGGCAAAAUGGUGCCGUAACUUCGGGAGAA